AAGUCGUAACAAGGUUUCCGUAGGUGAACCUGCGGAAGGAUCAUUACCUUUCAAUGCAGCAGAAUUGGGAUGGUUGAGUAUCUCGCCUCUCCGUUCUGCCUGUAUUCUACCCUUGUUUGUCAUAUACUAUUAUUUCCUCGGCAGGCUUGCCUGCCGAGUGAAACCAUUUAUAACCUUUUUAAUUUUCAAUCAGCGUCUGAAAAAAAUUAGUAAUUACAACUUUCAACAACGGAUCUCUUGGUUCUG
RNAcentral lists this unclassified non-coding RNA (246 nucleotides) under Paraphoma chrysanthemicola. Its description in RNAcentral is "partial internal transcribed spacer region". The stretch from base 1 to 46 matches the Rfam family "Eukaryotic small subunit ribosomal RNA", at positions 1786 to 1831 of the family's 1831-position model. Lineage: Eukaryota; Fungi; Ascomycota; Dothideomycetes; Pleosporales; Phaeosphaeriaceae. The record is from RNAcentral.